RNAcentral lists this ribosomal RNA (276 nucleotides) under Triticum aestivum (bread wheat). RNAcentral describes it as "partial small subunit ribosomal RNA". Lineage: Eukaryota; Viridiplantae; Streptophyta; Magnoliopsida; Poales; Poaceae. The record is from RNAcentral.
AUGUUACGAUGUAUAUGUUAUGAUCAGAAGCACACACAUUGUUUGAUCUGCUAUGUGCAAAUUUAUUUGUUAUUUGUAUCCUGGAAUGAGCGGAAUGCUCGCGUGGGGAACCUUGCCAUGUUGAUCUCUUGGCACAUUUGGAAUGAGCGGAAUGCUUGCGUCUUCCGCCAUGUCGAGACCCACCCAGAGACCAUUCUAUCAACACUCAAGGACGGGUCACGUUUAUGGCAGAAGGCUGGCGCCAAGCAUUUGAGCUUCAUGAUACUGGGAGAGUAA